This 1048-nucleotide long non-coding RNA is filed under the name Homo sapiens (human). Its description in RNAcentral is "HSALNT0099544". Lineage: Eukaryota; Metazoa; Chordata; Mammalia; Primates; Hominidae. The record is from RNAcentral.
GAAGAAAAGAGUCCUGGGCAAAAUUUGCAAUAAAAAGGCACGUGGUAAUCAUCGACCUCUAGACAGAGACAUGGCUAGACUUCAGGUCCCACGGCCUCAGUUACAUCACCCUCGGGAGGGUGUGGCCUGUUCUUGAAGACCUCUAGAAAGGUCGCUCCUCAGCUUGCAGCCAGUACCACCCCACCUCCCGCUGCAGGUGGACAGGGCCUGCAGUGUUCUGCAGCUGCUCUUCUCCUGCCUCCCAAAUCCUGGCUGGCCUAUAACUUGCUUUGACUGAUGCAUUGCAGCACCCAGCAAUGUGCAAGGUCAGAGUCUGGGCCUCCAGGAACCUUGUGCAUCCACCAUGACCUUCUCGGAAUGCACUUGUGGCCUGUAAGGAAGCCCUGGAGGAGGCAAGCUGAGUCACGACUGCCCAUGUGAAGAAGGAGGGCCAGCACACACCACCAGGCCUGUGAGGCAGGCCCUGCAGACCUGUCCAGCGGGUGCCAGCUGGGUGCAGCCUCCCAAGCGAGCUCGAACAGCCCCCAGAGCCAGGAGACAGAAUGGAUCGUCCUGGUUGUAAGCCACCUAGUUUUGGUGUGGUUUGUUAUGUGGCGAGAUAACCGGCCCACCUCUCUGGUGGGAAAGUCCGGUGCAUAUAAAAGGAAACAAAGUCCCACGCUGCCAGCCAGGUUGAAGUGCAGUGGCUCCGUCACUGCAACCUUGAACUCCUGGCUCAAAGGAUCCUUCCUGCCUCAGCCUCCCAAAGUACUGGGAUUGCAGGCAUGAACCACCGCGCCUAGCUUGCUGAGCAGUUUAAAACAGCAAGUCCCCUACAGUGCUUCAGCUAGCAUAUAGUAAAUACUCAAUAAAUGGCAUCUAUUAAUAUUCUGUCACCAUAGUAUUGUCUGUUGUUUAUUCAGUAUUCUGCAGUAUUCCCAUUGUGAUAUGUAGGUAUAGAUACCUGAAAGCUACACUCUAGGGCUGAUAGUCAACAUUUGAAGUGCCCUAAUCAGCAGUUUGCAUUGGUUCACUUUGGAAGGAUCUCAAUCAAGAAUCUACCCUCUAG